This 249-nucleotide ribosomal RNA is filed under the name Triticum aestivum (bread wheat). RNAcentral describes it as "partial small subunit ribosomal RNA". The record is from RNAcentral. Lineage: Eukaryota; Viridiplantae; Streptophyta; Magnoliopsida; Poales; Poaceae.
AUGAAUCUCCUUGCCUGGAACUGUCGAGGAUUGGGGUUGGACUCGACGGUUGGGGAACUUAGGGACCUGAUACGCUCGUACAACCCAGCGGUGGUGUUCUUGUCAGAAACAAAAAAGAAAUCAGAACCUAUGAACAAGCUCAAAUGGAGUCUAGGUUUCUGGCAAGGGGUGGCUGUUAGUAGUAAGGGCAGGAGUGGAGGACUGGCUCUGUGGUGGAGAGAUGAUGUUGAGGUUUCAGUGAGACCGUGA